CCACGGACUUACGUCCGUGGCUAUCGCCUGCCAUCGCUUCGCGAUU
Molecule: small RNA, 46 nt
Organism: Rhodopirellula maiorica SM1
Lineage: Bacteria; Pseudomonadati; Planctomycetota; Planctomycetia; Pirellulales; Pirellulaceae
Rfam family: Acido-Lenti-1 RNA
Source: Rfam